This 30-nucleotide small RNA is filed under the name Bombyx mori (domestic silkworm). Its description in RNAcentral is "ovarian small RNA-12212". The record is from RNAcentral. Lineage: Eukaryota; Metazoa; Arthropoda; Insecta; Lepidoptera; Bombycidae.
AGGGACAGAGUUCCCACCGUGCUACUGGAG